RNAcentral lists this long non-coding RNA (650 nucleotides) under Monodelphis domestica (gray short-tailed opossum). RNAcentral's name for it is "lncRNA (ENSMODG00000037811.1)". The record is from RNAcentral. Lineage: Eukaryota; Metazoa; Chordata; Mammalia; Didelphimorphia; Didelphidae.
AAAGCAGAGUCUUAGUUCAAUUCAGUGGGGGUAGAAGGUACCUUAGAGAUGAUCUAAGACAACCUCAAAUCAUGACCCAGAAGAAGAGAUAUUAAUAUAUAAAUAAAUAUUCUGUACAGGCAAACCAUUCCUUAAGAGGAAAAAGAAGCUGAGAAUCAGACAUGUUAAGCAACUUGCUAAGGGUCACAAAAAUACAAAUAAAAGAGCAAAGAUUCAAACCUAGGUCCUUUGACAAAAAAUGUGGGACCCUCUCAACUGCACUAUAUGCCAGGAGGUUCUGUCAAGCAUUGAGUAAUCAUGCCUAUACUGAGCUCCUCUUUAUAAAAAGUCAGCAACAAAUGGACCAAAUAAAAUGAGAGAACAAGAAAGAGGAAGAAGAAUGGAAAGAAAUACUUCUAAGGGAAAACUCCUUAAAACAAAAAUGAAGCCACAAAAGAAGCCCAAUGCAAUGAGUCAGUGUGCAUUAAAUGAGAAUAAGGAGACAUCUUUGUAAGGAAAGAUAACCAUACCCACAGAAGUGAAACUCUGUAUACCACAAAUACCUUCAGAGUUGUUAAUAAGGGGCUUGAUGGUAUCCAUAAAGAUAAAAUUAAAAUUAAUGAAGGAAGAACAACAUGCAAAUGAACAACACUGCACAAGUUGGAAUUGGG